Molecule: long non-coding RNA, 5348 nt
Filed under: Marmota monax (woodchuck)
Lineage: Eukaryota; Metazoa; Chordata; Mammalia; Rodentia; Sciuridae
Source: RNAcentral
CCGUGAUCCCACAAGCUCAAUCUCCCACUUCCCAUGGAGCAGCAGGAAAAUGGAAGUGGGGCAGACCUGAAUGAAUGUUCAGGCUCAAGGGUUAACCAAUAACAUUGCCAAACCCUGAAUAGCAUUAAGUUUGGACCAAUGGUGUUGACCCAUGUGCCAAACUCCUAGAUUAGCAUACUCAGGCAGCAACUGCUGUAGGGGUCUCCUCUUGCCUGUGCAAAAUUUCUGUUUCUAUUCUUCACACUUGAAUGAAUCCUAACUCCUUUCCCUUUCACUGUUGCCUUCCAUUGUCUCAUGAAUUUCAUUCUUUAGAUUUGCAAGACAAAAACCUGGAAAGAAGUUGGCAGUGAGCUGCUGAAUUCUACUGGAGCUGCAGUACUGAGAUCUGCAACUCACCACUCAGUGGUAAUGGAGAAGAAUCAGGCUUUCUGGGCUGCAAAGGCCUGCAGCUUACACAGACUCCACCAGCCAACAGAAGCAGAGAAUCAAGUUUCAUCACAAACUCCAGUUUUAAGGGGAGAUAGCCUGUAGACCUCAGACUGGUGGUUAUAUACCAGGUGGUGAUUAGUGUGAAGAGAAUAAAGUAGAGAAGGGGCAGGAAGAGCCAAGGGUUGGUUCUCUGAGCAGAAAACAUUGUUAGCUGUGAGAAAACAUUCCACACAGAGCCAACAGUGGCUGUGUGUUGGGGAAAAGGGAAGGAAGCCAGCAUGGCAGAAAUGAGUAAGCAGGGAGCAAGUGGCUGGGGCUGAGGUCAGGGCUGGACUGCAAAGGCCCUUUUGGACUGUUUUCCUCUGGGAAGAGGGAGGAAGCCAUUUUGGGGUUUUGAGUAGAGGAAUGAUUAAAUCUGACCUGGGUGUUUUUUUGUUUGUUUAUUUAUUUAUUUUAAUAGCAAGAUCAUUCUGGAUGUUGAGCAGAAGCAAAGAGCCUGGUUAGGAAGCCAUUGCAAUAACCACCAAGAAACAGAAGAGUAACUUGGUCCAGGAUGAUGGGAUAAAAAGAUCAGAAGCUUUAUGAUGUGUUUUUAAAGUAGAACCAACAGGAUUUGCUAAUGAGUGGAUGGGAUGAGAGAAAGGGUCAAGUCUUGGACCUGAGCAAAUGAGAGGGUGGAACUGCUGCUUGCUGAUCAGGAAAACCUGGAGUGGAGGAAGGUCUGCAGUGUGGGUCUGAAUGUUCGCAGAGUGUGGACUGCCCUUUAGGGGUCCAAGUGCAGUAGUCCAGGAGGCAGCUGGCAAGAAGAGGUGGAGCUCAGGGGAGAGGUCAGGGUGGUCAGCUUCAGGAGUCAUGCAGAGAUGGCAUUGAUGGAUGAGAUCAUCAAAGGCAUAAGCAAGGAGCAGCUGAUUAGACCUGAACCCAGGACACUGCAGAAUAUGGGCCCCUGAAGUUGAAGAAGACCAGAAAAGAGACAAAAAGAAGUAGCAGGAAGGAGGGAGAGAUUAAGAGAAGCCAGUGCCAGGCCACAUGGUAAAUGGAGGAGGAAUGUCCAGCUGGGGCAGUGCUGUGAGUCAGGGAAAGGGAGGCCCAGCUGACUGACUUCACAGCAUAGGCCCUGGGAGCCUCCCAGUGUGGUCUCCGUGAAGUGGCAAAAAUCUAAUCAGAAAAGGUUCAAGAGUGAACAAGAAGACCAGAACUGGAGCUGAAAAAUGAAGCAAUAGAAAGAACUAUGGGUCAUGGUGUGGGACAGUAUUUUCUUUAAUGGAUCACCUUACAGUUUACAGUUUGAAUGCUGAGAGUAGGAGUCAAUGGGGAGGGGCAAUGAGGAAGAAAGGGACCAUUGUGUGGGGUGAGGUCCUUGAGCAGGAAGGAGGGAACAGGAUCUAGUGCUUCCUAAUCUGAGUGUGUCCAUCUGAAAGACAGUCUUGUCAAAUGCAGAUUCUGAUUUGAGGGCCUUGAGUGUCCGGAUUUCCAGCAAAUUCCCAUGCUACUACUGCUGUUGCUCCAAAGACCACACUUUGAGUAGUUCUGAGUGCAUGGAGGGAAAAGUUUGUUAGCAUUGAUAGUUCCCACCCUAAGUUGCAAGAGGAAAAGCAGAAUGGAAAAGCAUGGAGGAAGGGCUGGGGAGAUGAUGUGCUAGGAGAAAUAGAGGUCUCUUCUGAUUGCUUCCAUUUUCUCUGAUCAGCUGGGAGUGGAGAGGUUUGAGGAGAUAGAAAGAAGUGUGAAAAAUCAGGAGAGCAGAGGUCUGAACAGAAGUUCUCAAACUUACAUGGGAGGCUUGUUGAGCACCCGUGGCCAGGCAGCCCUGGAGGCUGAGUCAGCAGGUCUGAGGUGUGUGGGGUGGAGUCUGGGAAUUUGCAUUUCUUCCUUCUUCUUCCUCUUCCUCCUCCUUCUCCUUCUUCAACUUUACUGAAGCAUAAUUAAUAUACAAAAAUCUGCUUAUACUCAAUGUGUACAGAUUGAUGAGUUUAGACAUGUACAUACCCCAUGAAACCAGUCAAUGGUAAUAAGCCUCUAAGUGUUUCUCCAUGCCCCUUUGUUUCUUGGUUUGUUUGUUUGUUUGUUUGUUUUAAGACAGAGAGAGAGAGAGAAUUUUUAAAUAUUUAUUUUUUAGUUUUCAGCGGACACAUCUUUGUUUGUAUGUGGUGCUGAGGAUCGAACCCGGGCCGCACGCAUGCCAGGGGAGCGAGCUACCGCUUGAGCCACAUCCCCAGCCCAUGUUUGUUUUGUUUUGGUGUGUGUGUGUGUGUGUGUGUUAUGGCCAUUUAACAUCAGACCUAUCCUUUUUACACAUUGUUAGGUGCAUUGUUAGUAUUAUUAACUGUGGGCUCUCUGUUGUACACAGAUCUCUAGAACUUAUUCAUCUUCUAUAACUAAAACUGUCCCCAUUAAAUGGCACCCUGCUCUCCCCUAGGAAUUUGUAUUUCCCUCAAGUACCUUCAAGUUCUGGAUGCUGGUGUGGGUGCUGGCAACCCACAUUUUGAGAACUACCAGAACGGGAAAUGCAGCUGGCUCUCGAGGCAGCCCAGCAGUCAGCUGAAGUCCAUUGUCCUGUGUUCUCUACCAGGGUCAGCUGCUCAGGUACAAAGGAGGUGGGAAGUUAGAUUUCUUCAAGAUGGGGGACAAACAAUCCUUUGUUUGGCACCAUGUCUAGGAUAUAUUAUAUGCUUAAAAAUUUUCAUUGUUAUUAUCUAGCCACCAGCUCUUCCUUACAACCCCACCUCCCAACCCACACACAGCAAUUCUCCUAUCUAACUGUACAGCAUGGUGGUUGAGAGCCCAGGCUCUGGGCCUGGCAGGCCUGAAUCCAGCUGUAUGUCCUUGGGCUGAUUUCUUAAUGUCUCUAUGUUUUAGUUUCUUCAUCUGAAAAUGAGAUAAGUACUCUUCCUUCACAGAGUUAUUGGGAUCAUUAAAAAAAAAAAAAUGCAUCUAAAUCACUUAGCAUGGGGUGGCAUACAGUAAACAGCAAAUUCUGAGGAUCCUUAAAGACCAGAGGAAUGGAAAGCAUUCACUGAAAAUUAACUCUUUGCACAAUCUCUGACCAUCCAAACCCAGCAGAGCCUCUUCUUGAUUUGCAACUAGAAUUAUUUUCUCCUACCCUCUUCUUUCUUGAUACUUCCUACCAAUUAUCACAUGGUUUACUUAGGAUAGAACUAUUUAUAUAUGUGGAAGUCAAGACCACUAAGUCUUGCACCCCUGAAGGGCAGUAAUUAUUUCUUAACUCAUAAACUCUGGAAGACUUGUGCACAGUGCCUACACAUAUUAUACUUUAAAGGCAUUAUCUGUGCACUUGAAUAAGAUUAUAUAUGGUGUAACACUGGAGCAUCUCAAAGUAAUUCUUGCUCAUAGGGAAAAAUAAUUAUUAACUGUGGGCUCUCUGUUGUACAAAUGAAACAGUACAAAUGAAACCAGUCUAUUCCAAAUAGGAACAUAAUACAUACUCUUGCAACUUUUUAAAUUAGGGCCUCUUGGACAUUGUUUCUUCUUAGUUCUUAAAGAUUUACCUCAUUCUUUUUCACAUUGCAUUGUAUUGUAUUCUUUUAAACAUUCCAUCGUUCAGAUGUACCACAAUUUGUCUAAGCUGUUUCCUACUUAUGGACAUCUAGAAUGUUCUGGGGUUGUUAAAAUUGUUGUUAUAAACAAUGCUGCAAUGAGUACUUCUUUGUGAAUGACUGAAAGAUAAAUUUCUAGGAAGUUAAAUUCCUAGAAGUGGAUCAGAGGAUCUAUGCAUUUUUUAUGUUGAUAACUGUAUCAAUUAUAGUUCAGUUAGCUGAGAAGAGUUAUGUUCCACCCAGCUUAAGGGGAGUUUUGUUACAGGCUACUGGAUGAAAUGAAGAGUCAUUGGGAAGGCUCAAGAACAAAUCUACAUUGAAUAUUUAGAGAUGACUUCAAGAGCCACACUUGCAGGCCUGAGCUUCAAAAAGAGCUAUUACCUUUUCAAUCAGAAAAGUCAUUGCCAAACUGGGAAGCUGCUGUCUUGACUUCCAUAAACUCCAAAAGCAUGCUGCCUCUGCUAGUCAGGAAGCCAAAAUAAUCAGGGGGUCACUUUCCUGACAAUGUUUGUUGGCUCAAGCAGCAAAGUAUGGUUUCCUCUUCUGCCUUCCAGAGCUCAAGUAACCAGCAGAAUGCAACUCAUAUCCAGAAAUCUAGCUCUCUAGAGAGCCAGGGGAAUGUAGCUGGUAACCUUCCUGCUUCUGCAAGUGAGAAAUCAUGUAAGACAGGCAAGAUUGGACUGCAUCUCCAGUGCCACGCACUCGCACUCUACCAACUACUUCCAGUACUUCUUCCCAAAAGUGCUUGAUUCCUCCACGCCAUCAUCAAAAUUAAUGUCUCCUAACUUGCUAUAAUAUCUCAGUGUUUGAGUUUUACAUUUCUUUGUUUAUAAAUCAGAUUGAAGAUCUUCAAUUUGUUUAUUGGCCAUUAUAGUUCAUUUUCCUAUUUUUAUCUCUAUCAGUAUUAGUAAGUAACAACCCCCACCCCCCGCUGCAACCCAGUAGAUUAAAACAUAGUCUACAGGUCCAUAGUCCACAACCCCAUCUGGGUUGUUUUGCUGAGCCUAGGCUCAGUUGAUCUCAUCUGGGCUCAGCAUCUUCCGUCAGCUGAUGAGUCACUAAAGCUGCUGGUGUGGGAUGGCAUUGGCUGGUCUAUGUUGGCUCUUCUCCCCAGGACUCUCUUCCAUCAGGCCAGCCCACACUGAUGUUCAUGAGAGUGGCACAGAUUCAAGAGAGAGAGGGAGAAGAGACCCAAAUGCUUUUCCUAGUGUCUGCUCUGUGCAGAUGUUCCUAUCCCAUUGGCCACAGCAAGUCAUUGGGUCUCGCCCAGGACAGAGUAGGAAGGAGGAAACAUCCUAAAGGCCUGGAUAUAGAGAAGCCUUUGACAGAGACCAUUAAAGAAAUCAGUUCUUGCAUUAUCUUUUG